This 63-nucleotide transfer RNA is filed under the name Diopatra cuprea. RNAcentral describes it as "tRNA-Tyr". The record is from RNAcentral. Lineage: Eukaryota; Metazoa; Annelida; Polychaeta; Eunicida; Onuphidae.
AGUGAAAUGACCGAACUUAGGUAUAAGACUGUAAAUCUUAUUAUGGAUAUUUUCCUUUCACCA